GUCACACGCCACGCAAAGGCCAGCAGCUACUACAAGAGGAGCGCUGGGGAUGUGACAGACCUGAGACAGGGGGAUGUGUCCCAGCCGGCUGCGCUUGGCACGACGCAGAAAACUGAGCUGAUGUCUUGUCUCCUUUCCCGUGCCCAAACCCCACCGCUUGCAGGUUUCUAGUGGUUUUUUUUGACAUUCCCUGCUGGCAAAGGGGGAUGGAGACAGGAGAUUGAGCCUGAGCACCUUCAUCGACAGAGAAAUCUGCAGAACAUGGAGGGGAAGUGAUGUGCCUGGUGCUGGAAGGAGCAGGGCCCGAGGCCGGAUGGCUGCGGAGCUCCAGCCUACACAGGGGAGCUCCAUCAAACAUCACAAGGGACACAAGCAGGAUGUUGACACCUCAUGACUUGUACCCAUGGAUGAAGGGGAUGGUGAGCACUAAGAAAAUGCAAAUGCAGCUGAGGAUUAGCAAAAGCAAUUAUGAAAAACAAGUAGUGGAAAUAAUGAUUCAUCAGGAAUUGAAUCUGAUGUUGAGCCCAGUCCUGCACUCGACAGCUCAGGACCCUGGAAAACACAUCCUUCUCACCCCACAGAUACUCCUCUCCCCACCAAAACUUCGAGUCAAAAAGAAACACUGCAUAACAUUGAAGCCAGAUAGGAAGAUCUGUGUGAAAGUUUACAUCAAGCCAGAGGCCAGACUGAGUGGUUCAGUCUCUCUGAACAAAAAUACCAUAAAUAUACCUGCCUAUAUUAUUUCCUA
Pseudopipra pipra is the source of this 748-nucleotide long non-coding RNA. RefSeq lists it as uncharacterized. The transcript is spliced from 4 exons. The record is from RefSeq and is a predicted model, not a curated record. NCBI's taxonomy places the organism in Eukaryota, Metazoa, Chordata, Aves, Passeriformes, Pipridae.